CCAGUAGUCAUAUGCUUGUCUCAAAGAUUAAGCCAUGCAUGUCUAAGCACAUGCCUUAAUACGGUGAAGCCGCGAAUAGCUCAUUACAACAGCCAUCGUUUAUUAGAAUAUCGUUAUCCUACUUGGAUAACUGUGGCAAUUCUAGAGCUAAUACAUGCAAUAAAGCUCCGCCCGCAAGGAACGAGCGCAUUUAUUAGAAUAAAAACCAAUCGAGCCUCGGUUCGUAAUUUGGUGAAUCUGAAUAACUUUGCCAAUCGCACAGUCCUAGUACUGGCGAUGUAUCUUUCAAGUGUCUGCCUUAUCAACUUUCGAUGGUACGCUAUACGCCUACCAUGGUAGUAACGGGUAACGGAGAAUAAGGGUUCGACUCCGGAGAGGGAGCCUGAGAAACGGCUACCACAUCCAAGGAAGGCAGCAGGCGCGCAAAUUACCCACUUCCAGAACGGAGAGGUAGUGACGAAAAAUAACGAGACAGUCCUCUUCGAGGUCUGUCAUCGGAAUGGGUACAAUUUAAAUCCUUUAACGAGGAUCU
Molecule: ribosomal RNA, 532 nt
Filed under: uncultured eukaryote
Lineage: Eukaryota
Description: SSU rRNA
Rfam family: Eukaryotic small subunit ribosomal RNA
Source: RNAcentral